GGUAGAGCGACGGACUGUUAAUCCGCAGGUCCCUGGUUCGAGCCCAGGUUGGAGAGCCA
This 59-nucleotide transfer RNA is filed under the name Acinetobacter baumannii 121738. RNAcentral's name for it is "partial tRNA-Asn". It matches the Rfam family "tRNA", at positions 17 to 71 of the family's 71-position model. Rfam says of the family: Transfer RNA (tRNA) molecules are approximately 80 nucleotides in length. Their secondary structure includes four short double-helical elements and three loops (D, anti-codon, and T loops). Further hydrogen bonds mediate the characteristic L-shaped molecular structure. tRNAs have two regions of fundamental functional importance: the anti-codon, which is responsible for specific mRNA codon recognition, and the 3' end, to which the tRNAs corresponding amino acid is attached (by aminoacyl-tRNA synthetases). tRNAs cope with the degeneracy of the genetic code in two manners: having more than one tRNA (with a specific anti-codon) for a particular amino acid; and 'wobble' base-pairing, i.e. permitting non-standard base-pairing at the 3rd anti-codon position. The record is from RNAcentral. Lineage: Bacteria; Pseudomonadati; Pseudomonadota; Gammaproteobacteria; Moraxellales; Moraxellaceae.